UUUGAGGGCAGUGGGUUCCCAUGCCCAGCCCCAUGAAGGACGGGGUUCAUGGAAGACCCCAGUAUUGCAAGUCUGUAGCCAGCACGGGGGGCCUGCAUUCCUUCUGCAGGAGAAGCACGAAAGAGCUAUUCUUCUUAAUUUGCCAAGGAGGAAACUGAGGCCCAGCAGGGCAGGAGAACCCAGGUUACAGCGCAGGUGGGAGGCUGAGCUCAGCCUCAAGUCCCAUCUGCACGCCCAAGGUGUGGCCCCCCUUAGUAGGAGUCGCGACUCAGGGUGACGCUGUUUCUCGGCCCAGGGGGCAAAAGAGCCCGACCGGAAGCUGCUCUUGGAAGACAGAAGCCCAUGUGCACGGAAUGCGCCAGCGCCCAGCAGAAACAAUGAAGUGAUUUCCACCCUUGAACUUGGGAAUGAAGAGAGGCAAAAUCACAGGCUGGGAACCGCAGCCUGAAUUGGAUGAACUUAUCUUGUGGUUGACUUGUGCAUGUAUGAGUUUCACGCCUGAGAACAGGAUAGGAACUUUUGAAAUGCAGCCCACGCCCUCUGGCCCUCGUGUGUACAGAGCCGCCUUCGUUGGGUGACUCAGGGUAAUGACUGAGCAACAACUGUUGGCUUGAGUGGUGCCGGGGAUGCCCUGGGAGGCUCUCCCUGCCAUGCUGCCUGCCCUGCACCAACAGGCCCCUGCUCCAUGGCUGCAGCCUCUAGCCUGUAGCCUCCAGCCUGUCUGGCCAUCUACCGGCAGAUGCUGCUCCCAGGGUCUGCCUCCCGCAGCGCGCGCCUCUGAUUCAGCCUUCCAAGCUCACAAAACAAAGUAUGUGUAACGGAAGUGUUGUGUGGAACUCAGGAGCUGAUGGUCUCAUCUGGGCCCAGCUGCCUCUUUGCAGACUUUAUGGCCUUCACCUGGGUUUGCAGAAGGCACAUAGUUUCUGGGUCUGGAUAAGCAAUGGGUCCUGGAACAAAAACUCUAGAGACCGGAGGCUAUUCAUGACAGGCUCCAUUUCUUAUUGAACAUUCAGUUCACCAUCAGGUCUUGUCUAGUCUACCCCCAGAGCAUCCAUUUUUCCAUCACCUUGGCCACCACUACCAUCCCCUGGCUCCUGGCUGGUAUCUCCAUGGUCCCACCUUUGGGACUUUGAGUAUGCAAUGUUUUUGAAAGACUCAG
Gorilla gorilla gorilla (western lowland gorilla) is the source of this 1159-nucleotide long non-coding RNA. RefSeq lists it as uncharacterized. Lineage: Eukaryota; Metazoa; Chordata; Mammalia; Primates; Hominidae. The record is from RefSeq and is a predicted model, not a curated record. The transcript is spliced from 3 exons.